Molecule: non-coding RNA, 649 nt
Organism: Pelobates cultripes (western spadefoot toad)
Lineage: Eukaryota; Metazoa; Chordata; Amphibia; Anura; Pelobatidae
Source: the annotation of a GenBank genome assembly
CACCUUUAUAAACGCUUCAUUCAGGCAGUGAGAGUUUAAAAUAAAAUUCCACUUUAAACCAUUUGGCAAAAUAUGUUUCAGUGUCUCUGCAUUGCAAAGUUCCCUAUUAAAAACACGUAGCCAAUGUAUGGACAUGUUUUAAAGGUGAAAAAGAAGUGGAGACAAGCCGAAUCUCAUCGCUAAAAUUAAGGUAUAUCACUACAUGGCUUUAUCUGCUUUUACUUACUCAUUUUCUUGAUACUCUGAAGUAAUAUGGUUGAAAGCAGAAUGAAAAAUUACUGUUGUAUUUUGGUUGUAACAUCGGAGUAGGAAGGAUGUCUUUGUGUGUUGCUACGUUUCCUGCACUUUGUUCACACCUAGGUUCAUUUUUAUUCUAUCACACACUACAGAAACAAUGCUAUGUUCUAUGGAUGUAAUAGAACAUUCCUAUCACCAUAGCUACUACAGCCUGUUGUAGUGAUGGUACCCACUAUAAUCUGUCAAUAAUGUUAGAACAGUUUGACCCUUAUCUGAAUCCCGACAGACACCCACACUCAUCUUCUCAAGCUGUAGAAGCUGGAUGUUUAAUUUAUGCAAGAAAACAAUUCAUUUAUUGGCUGAGAGCAUCAGCCAGGUUAUGGUGGGAGAGCGGAAGGGCACUCCAGGCACC